UGAAGUCAAAACUCCGUCCAAAUGCGGUACCUGACAUUCCAUUGACACAACCAACAACAGCUGAGCCAAGGCCACUUAUACCUAAGCGGGGAGCUUAUGAAAAGCGGAGAAAGGCUGACAUCCUACAGCUUGCAUAUUGCUUGAAAGAUCGUCAAUGUCGGACUCUUCGGAUGACACAUUUAUAUCUUCUACUUGAUUAUUUUCAACAAGUAACGGCUCAAACUGAUACGGUCGAAUAUCUAAAGUUUGAGAGUUGUCUUGAAAACUGCUGUCAACACCGUCCAUUGUUUAAUUAUGCAGAAAUGUGAUCGACUUCGUCCAUAUUGAGACAUUUUCUCAGCUUGUAUCCACUGACGUCAUCACGAUCACGUGACCGGUAUCUAAUUAAAAAUCAAAGAUUACGACAAGCGCUGGAUUAUUUGACCAUAAAAAGGCCGUUUCAUGAGGUUUUGACAAGAAAAAUUUAUUAAAAUAUGUUUUUUGACCAAUAGUAAUUAAUUAAUUAAAAAAAAAAAAAAAAAAAAAA
Long non-coding RNA from Mytilus californianus (California mussel), 526 nucleotides. RefSeq lists it as uncharacterized. The transcript is spliced from 2 exons. Lineage: Eukaryota; Metazoa; Mollusca; Bivalvia; Mytilida; Mytilidae. The record is from RefSeq and is a predicted model, not a curated record.